UACGUAGGGUGCGAGCGUUGUCCGGAAUUACUGGGCGUAAAGAGCUCGUAGGUGGUUUGUCGCGUUGUUCGUGAAAACUCUCAGCUCAACUGUGGGCGUGCGGGCGAUACGGGCAGACUAGAGUACUGCAGGGGAGACUGGAAUUCCUGGUGUAGCGGUGGAAUGCGCAGAUAUCAGGAGGAACACCGGUGGCGAAGGCGGGUCUCUGGGCAGUAACUGACGCUGAGGAGCGAAAGCGUGGGGAGCGAACAGG
This 253-nucleotide ribosomal RNA is filed under the name uncultured bacterium. Its description in RNAcentral is "partial 16S ribosomal RNA". It matches the Rfam family "Bacterial small subunit ribosomal RNA", at positions 524 to 776 of the family's 1533-position model. The record is from RNAcentral.